UAUAAUUCUACGUAAUCUUAUUCCGUUAAGAAAACUUGUUAUAACCUUAUCAGAAAUUAAAACAACUUUCAAUGCUAUAAGAAGAGAGGUAAAAUCAUUUUAUACAAUACGAAACUCUCACCUCUCUGCAAGGCGUUCCAGAAACAAGCGAUACGUGAUCUGUGGAGCAGCUCCAACGAAAACACCACCCACAAAAUGGACAACUCCAACAGGAUCUCCUUUGCUCGGUCUUAGAAUCCAUGCUCCCUGGAGAAGGGAAACAAAAUCACCAGUGCUCUCCCCGCGAAAGAAAAAAAAAAGAAAAGAUAGAGCUUACUUGGAUUUCUUGCCAGCGUCCAAGAGUUCCUUGUGCUUUCAUCGCAGAGUUCACAAAAACCCUGGAAAGAAAGAAGAACAAGCAUGAAAACGAGGCAAUUCAUCGAAAUUCUUUCACCAGCAUACUUCUCGAUCUGUCCUUAGAGCUGGAGGCUACCAUUCUUUCCUUGCGGCUUCCCUUGGAACUCGAGGAGCUAGAAAACCUGGGAUUGUCUCGUCGCCGGCACCAUGACGCUGCCGCGGUCGCGAAUCCAGUGCCUGCCCUGGCAGAAGAAGCUGCGCAGUUGGGAAGGGUCGACAGUAGCCACGACUCUUUCAAACACAGAAAACCCUCGAAAUAUUUCCAUUACCAGCGCUGGAGGAGCGGAGCUAGCUCGUCUAGAUCGGCCGCGAGGUCAUUCUUCCUAGGGUUCUGGAGAUCGAGCAAAGAGGAGGAGGAAGAGGAGCUGCGCAGCUGCGUCGUGGAUUAUAGCUCUCUCACUCCAUCCGCUGCUAGGCCAAUCGAUCGCCAGGUAGAAGAAGGCGCCGCCGACGAUCAUCACCUCAAGCUCUACCAUGUUCGCCUCCAAGAUCAGCUCCAGGAAUUCCUGGACAAGACACUGGAGAUUAUCCGCGUGGAGGAGGAGCCAGAUCCUGCUCCAGUGGCUGCUCCAUCCCAGGAAGAAGACGAUGGAUUCCAUCUCUUUGGGAAAGCUCCGGCUGGGAUAACAAUGAUAGAGAGAGUCAGGGAUGGAUCUCUAGAGCACAGGGCUAGUGGCAAACGCUACAUUCACAGUACAAGGGGGUGGUUUUCUAGUGGCAAGAACUCGUUAGAGAAUGUAGUGAUCGAUGCUGAGAGUGUGAGAGUAGAGGCGGAGAAGGCGAGAGAGAAGGCUCUGGCAGCAUGGAAGGAUAGAAUUUCUAGAAAGGAAGAAGCCAUUGCUAGAGAGAACUCGAGGGUGGCGGCACUGAAACAAGUCAGGGGUGAGAAGUGGAUUUGCUAGCUCAAUUCAUGUUCUUCAUCAGAGAGAGAGAAGCCUUCUCGAAGGAGCAGCGAUCGAGUUCACUAAUGUAAGUUAUUGAUUUUUGACAAUCCUGGGAGAAACUAUUUCUUUCUCGUUUUCCUUGUGCUAAGCAUGACACGAUGCGAACUUACAGGUUCUCAGAUUUUUAUACAUUAGCGUUAAGAACCCAGACCGAAUCAGUCAACCACUCUUUGAGAUACAAAGACACGUUGUUGCCACCAAUCAC
Molecule: long non-coding RNA, 1545 nt
Filed under: Selaginella moellendorffii
Lineage: Eukaryota; Viridiplantae; Streptophyta; Lycopodiopsida; Selaginellales; Selaginellaceae
Description: long non-coding RNA (SMOE_LNC000883)
Source: RNAcentral